GGGAAAGUGACUCAGUGGUAGAGUGCUUGCCUUGCAUGCAUGAGGCCCUGGGUUCAAUUCCUCAGCACCA
RNAcentral lists this transfer RNA (70 nucleotides) under Dipodomys ordii (Ord's kangaroo rat). It matches the Rfam family "tRNA". From Rfam's summary of the family: Transfer RNA (tRNA) molecules are approximately 80 nucleotides in length. Their secondary structure includes four short double-helical elements and three loops (D, anti-codon, and T loops). The record is from Rfam by way of RNAcentral. Lineage: Eukaryota; Metazoa; Chordata; Mammalia; Rodentia; Heteromyidae.